RNAcentral lists this long non-coding RNA (4735 nucleotides) under Sus scrofa (pig). Its description in RNAcentral is "lncRNA (ENSSSCG00055007805.1)". The record is from RNAcentral. Lineage: Eukaryota; Metazoa; Chordata; Mammalia; Artiodactyla; Suidae.
GGCUAGGGGUCCAAUUGGAGCUACAGCUGCCAGCCUACACCACAGCCACAGCAACGCCAGAUCCAAGCUGCGUCUGUGAUCUACACCACGGCUCACAGCAACGCUGGAUCCUUAACCCAUAGUGCAAGGCCAGGGCUUGAACCUGCAGCCUCACGGGUACUAGUCAGAUUCGUGUCCAUGGAUCCCCGAUGGGAACUCCUGGACCCUGUGUUAAGAGCAGAGUUCCUCACCUGAUGCAGUGUCCACUCCAACCCCACCCCUCUCCAGGCCAGACUUGCCUGCCCGUUCCCACCGCCCCGGGAGUAUGGCCAGGGCCUGGGAGCUGUGUGGGUGUUUGAUUCUGGGCCCCAGGGCUUCUUGGCCAGCAUGGACCUCAGUCGCUAUAGCAAGUGUUUCUCUGUCCACUGACUGCCUACACUUCCAGAGCAGAUCUGGCUGUCAAACUGACCUGGGUUCAAGUUCAGGUUUUGCAGUACCCUAACUUGAAGAUGGUGGCCUUUUGCCAGUCACUUAACUUCACUGAGCCUUGGUGUCUUGUCUAACCUUUUUUUUUUUUUUUUUUUUUUUUUUUUUUUUUUUUUUUNNNNNNNNNNNNNNNNNNNNNNNNNNNNNNNNNNNNNNNNNNNNNNNNNNNNNNNNNNNNNNNNNNNNNNNNNNNNNNNNNNNNNNNNNNNNNNNCCUACACCACAGCUCAUGGCAAUGCCGGAUCGUUAACCCACUGAGCAAGGGCAGGGAUCGAACCCGCAACCUCAUGGUUCCUAGUCGGAUUCGUUAACCACUGCGCCACGACGGGAACUCCCAAAGAACCAUUUUAAAAUUCAAAAGUAAAAAAAUAAAAUUCAGCUUUACUCAAGUGUAUUCCUUAAAUUUCUUUUGGCUUUUUCUUCAUUAAUUGUUUCUGUUUUCCUUCACAUUCAGUUGUGUCUUUUUCCUGAUUUCUUGUAUCAAAUGCUUAACUUAAUUUCUUCCUUUUCUGUUAGGAAUCUUAAGGUUUUAGUUGAUUAAAUUUCCUCUAAGUACAGAUUUGUCUUUGUUUAAAAAGCUUGAUGUGUAAUGUUCCUUUCUCCAUCUGUGCUAUUUUCUAGGUAUUCAAUAGCUGUGGUGUUUUUUUUUUUUUUUUGCCUUUUCUAGGGUGACUCCCGCAGCAUUUGGAGAUUCCCAGGCUAGGGGUUGAAUCAGAGCUGUAGCCGCCGGCCUACACCAGAGCCACAGCAACGAGGGAGCCGAGCCAUGUCUGUAACCUACACCUCAGCUCACGGCAACGCCGGAUCCUUAACCCACUGAGCAAGGCCAGGGAUUGAACCCGCAACCUCAUGGUUCCUAGUCGGAUUCGUUAACCACUGCGCCACAACGGGAACUCCAAGGAGGGAAUUUUAAGUUUUCCAACUGACAGUGUUAUUUAUUUUUGCUUUUUAGGGCCACACCUGCAACAUAUGAAAGUUCCCAGGCUAGGGGUGAAAUCCAAGCUGCAGCUGCCUGCCAGUCUGCACCAUAGCCACAGCAAUAUGGGAUGGAUCUCUGUGGCCUACACCACAGCUCACAGCAACGCCGGAUCCUUAACCCGCUGAGUGAGGCCAGGGAUCGAACCUGUAUCCUCAUGGAUGCUAGUCAGAUUGGUUUCCACUGAGCCACUAUGGGAACUCUGGGUUAUUUUUACUUCUGCUCUCAUUAUAUCUUGUUUUAUUUUUUGUUUUUUUUUUUUUUUUUUUUGAGGGGCACACUUGCCACAUAUGGAAGUUCCCAGGCUAGGGGUCAAAUUGGAGCUGUAGUCAGUGGCCUGCACCACAGCCACACCAGAUCCAAGCCUCAUCUGAGACCUACACCACAGCUCACAGCAAUGCCAGAUCCUUAACCCAUGAGUGAGGCCGGGGAUAGAACCUGCGUCUUCACGGAUGCUCGUCAGAUUCCUUUCCACUCUGCUGUGCUGUGACAGAACUCCCUGUUGCCACCUUUUGACCAUAUUUGCUGAUCUACCUUGGUCAGGUCAGCUCUUACUGUUUCUGUUUUGAAUGGGCCUUGGUCUACCAAGGUGUAGGGAUUUCUGUAUUUUCCAGCGUCUCCCUCUUGGGAUUUUUUUUCCUUUGAAAGUUGCUCUGCGGUAGAGGUUUUGCUCCUCCCUUAUGCUUCCAUGGCGGAUGGUUGUCCUCACCGAGGCAAAAUGACUCUCCUGUUCCUUUCUUUCUCUCUUGUGUCUGGCGUCUCUCAUGCAGUGUUACACAUUGGUGAGUUUAUUCCUUCUCGCUGCUGCUGCUUUGUUUCAUUGAGGUGUAAUUGACAAGGUGAACAGGACAAUGAUUUGACUGAGAUACGUUAUGAGAUGAGGCCCACAGUAACAUUUAGUGAGCAUCCAUCCUCUCGCAGAGAUAGAAAAUUAAAGGCGUAGAAACACAUGGUUUUUCCUCGUGGUGAGGUUUACACCUUAAUGACCUUCGCAUGUAACAUACAGUAGUGUUAAUUAUAUUUACAUGUUGUACAUUGUAUCCCUGGUUCUUCAGGUUCUUGUAUCUGGAAGUUUGUACCUUUUGGCGGCCUUCAUCCAGUUCCCCUCCCCACCUCUGCCUCCGAUAACCACAGGUCUGAUCUUUUGUCUCUGAGUUUGUUUUGAAGUAUCGCUGACCUGCAGCUCUGUAUUGGUACCUGGUACCCAGUACAGUGAUUCAGUAUUUCUCUGCAUUUCAGAGUGAUCACCUCGACAAGCCUAGUUACCAUCUGUCUGUUCCUUCUCGUUGUGAAAUAGUAUUCUGUUAUGUGAGUGUAAUAUUUAUUCGUUCUAGCUGUGAUAGAUUUUACUUAGCUCGGUUCCAUUUAGAGCUGUGGUGGAGUGCUGCCAUUGCCGUGCUCACGCGUCCUUCGGUGUGUCUUGGUAUGUGUUCUCUUGCGUUCCUACCUAGGAAUGGAAUUGCUAGGUCCCAGGGGACGCAUAGGUUCGGCUUUAGUAGGCAGCUGCCACUUUUCCAGAGAGUGUACCAAUUGGCACACCCACCAGUAGUGCACAAGUGUCGUCCUUCCUUCCCACACUCACCAGCCCUUGGUGUAAAGAUGUCUCCUCUCACCAGAUUGAUCUCUAGAUGCUGCGCGAUUCCAACCAGAAUCCCAGCAGGCUUUUCUUUUGCUGUUGGUUAUUUGGAAAUUUGACAAACCGAUUAUGAAACUUAUGUGAAAAUGCAAAAAAGGACCAAGACUAAGCAACGCUGGAAGGGCUCAGCUGACUAGAUGUCAAGGCUUUAUAAAAGCCACAGUAAGGAAGGCAGCACAGUGUUGGUGAAAGGCUAGACAAAUGGACCGAUGGAACUGAGAUCUUGAAACAGGCUGCAUGGAAGCAGUCACUUAAUGUAUGACAAAGGUGCCACAUGACAGAUGGAAAAAAAUGGCCUUUUCAAAAAAAGGUCCUGGGAAGGUUGGAUUCUCCAUGUAGAAGAGGUGGGGGGAGAAUCUUCUGCCUGUAAUCCUGUCUAGAAUCAGUUUUAGGUAGAUUAUAGAGCUAAACGUGAAAGAGAAAACAGAACUUCUGGAGUAAACAGGAGAAUAUCCUUACCGUCUUGGAGAAGACAGUUCUUUAAAUAGGAUACAGAAAGUGCUACCAAAAUAGAGAAGAUUGGUACAUUGAACUGCCUUAAGCCUUCUCUCUUCUACUUUCUACAAAUGCUCCAAUGAAAUGCAGCAAACACUGUUUUGUAAUUGCCCAGAUCGUUAGAUAAUCCGUCAGUCCCCUGCUCUCCUCGGAUGGACGGCUCCUCUCCUGCCUUCAGUGCAGCUGCCUGGGGCUUUCUUUGGCUGUCACUCAGGGUCUUGUUCCUCUGUGUUGGAUCCCCUGUUUCUUGGGUCCGUGGGUGGUGUGAACGUCAAAUAACAGCGACUCUCUUAAGCUGCCUUGGAGCAAUAAGGUCACUGGCUCAAGUUAAGUAGAAUUCCAGCAGUUCCCCUUUGGUUGGUCCAGAUACCUUUCUUGUCUGGGUGGGUCUCUGGCCAGGGGGAUGGAGUUCUCUUAGAUGGAGCUGGGUGUGGGUCAGCUUCCCAGGCCGCAGGCUUCUUGGGAAGGGACAAGGUCACGUCCUCCAGGAAAGAAGAAGAGAGAGUUGACUUCCAGGAGGUCAGUCCACCGUGGCCACUGCAACAUUUGCCCGUGUCUUGGUUUGCUUUCUUACUCGUUAGAGCAUCUUUCCCUGUAACUUUCUGAGAAGGUAGAAUGUUUUGAGUCCUUUUGCGAGUCUAAAAAAGUUUUUUUCUAUCUUCACACUUGCCUCUGUCAGCAGAUUCUAGAUUUUAGACUGAAAAUUGUUUUCGGGGGAAGGGAAUGAUGCUGGUAAGCGUAGCGCAGUUGCUCCCAGACUCAUUGCCCCUCCCUCCUUUAUUCCUCCCUGGGGCCUUUUUUGGGGGCGAUGAUUGGCUUUCGGUCCUUGUCUUUAUCCCCAGUGUCCUGGGAUUUCACUUUGUACUUCCAUUGCUCUGAGGACUUGGAGGAGGGCUCUUGCAGUCUUGGGUCCUUUAGCUCUGGGAAUUUGUCUUGUAAUUUUUAUUUGAUGAUUUCCCUCCCUUUUCUCCCCUUUGUGUUUCUGGAACUCCUGGAUUAAUCUGAUUUUGCUGGGAGAAACCAGUGUUCAUCUCCUGGUUAAUUUGUCUGUGAUUUCCUUGACUUUAUCUUGCAUUGCUUCUAUUGAAAUUGAAAUUAAGAAAGUUCCCUUGUAGCACAGGGGGUUAAAGAUCUGGCAUUGCUGCAGCUGUGGUACAGGUGUGG